GUUGGAUAGUCAACUAGGACUGCAUGCACCGGAUCCCAUCAGAACUCCGCAGUUAAGCGUGCUUGGGCGAGAGUAGUACUAGGAUGGGUGACCUCCCGGGAAGUUCUCGUGUUUCACCCC
RNAcentral lists this ribosomal RNA (120 nucleotides) under Brassica rapa (field mustard). The record is from RNAcentral. Lineage: Eukaryota; Viridiplantae; Streptophyta; Magnoliopsida; Brassicales; Brassicaceae.